Mustela putorius furo (domestic ferret) is the source of this 106-nucleotide small nuclear RNA. The record is from Ensembl. NCBI's taxonomy places the organism in Eukaryota, Metazoa, Chordata, Mammalia, Carnivora, Mustelidae.
AUGCUUGUUUCAGCAGCACAUAUACUGAAAUUGAAUCAGUACAGAGAAGACAGCAAGGUCCCUGUGCAAGGAUGACACAUAGAAUUAAUUUGAAUAAUAAUUUAUU